CACGUAGGGCGCGAGCGUUGUCCGGAAUUAUUGGGCGUAAAGAGCUCGUAGGCGGCCUGUUGCGUCCGCUGUGAAAGCCCGGGGCUUAACCCCGGGUCGGCAGUGGAUACGGGCAGGCUAGAGGUAGGUAGGGGAGAAUGGAAUUCCCGGUGUAGCGGUGAAAUGCGCAGAUAGUCGGAGGAACACCGGUGGCGAAGGCGGUUCUCUGGGCCUUACCUGACGCUGAGGAGCGAAAGCGUGGGGAGCGAACAGG
RNAcentral lists this ribosomal RNA (253 nucleotides) under uncultured bacterium. RNAcentral's name for it is "partial 16S ribosomal RNA". It matches the Rfam family "Bacterial small subunit ribosomal RNA", at positions 524 to 776 of the family's 1533-position model. The record is from RNAcentral.